Molecule: small RNA, 62 nt
Filed under: Arabidopsis thaliana (thale cress)
Lineage: Eukaryota; Viridiplantae; Streptophyta; Magnoliopsida; Brassicales; Brassicaceae
Description: ATSL301640
Source: RNAcentral
CUUACCGCGUUUCUGUCGUUCAUUGAGACCUUGACGUAUCAAAAAAAUAUAUACUAAAAUAU